GGUAUUGUAAGGAAUGUAUUUGAAGGUCACGUACCUGGGGAAGUAAACUUUGAUGUAUGUAAAUUAAGUUCGAAUGUAUUAUUAUUUAGUAUUAUUCAGCUUAAAGAAAUGGUAUCGUGGAGAACCGAGUUCGGGUUACAAGUACCCGGAUUUGGGGUCGCCACAUUUCAAGAAGAAGAUAUUCAAAAAUAAUGGAAAGACAUAAGCAUCAACACCUGUCGUUG
This 224-nucleotide long non-coding RNA is filed under the name Panax ginseng (ginseng). RNAcentral describes it as "long non-coding RNA (PGIN_LNC000219)". The record is from RNAcentral. Lineage: Eukaryota; Viridiplantae; Streptophyta; Magnoliopsida; Apiales; Araliaceae.